Non-coding RNA from Pelobates cultripes (western spadefoot toad), 684 nucleotides. NCBI's taxonomy places the organism in Eukaryota, Metazoa, Chordata, Amphibia, Anura, Pelobatidae. The record is from the annotation of a GenBank genome assembly.
GGAAUACUAUGAAGAUAAAAUACCACACAUUACAAGACUUAGCUUUUAAUAAAUCAUGAUAAAAGAAAGCCCAGCCAGAACUUCCAGAAGAACUUCCCACAAAAAAAUCAUCAAAAAACACAAUAGCUGUAUAGACAUAAUAUUUUGCACACAAUAGUGUGCUUUAACAAAUAUUUCAUCAUGGUGCUAUUUACAACGUUUUCAUUAGUGGGCUAGUAUAGAUAUUAUGGUGGAAGACAACUUGAUAAUGGUAAUUACAAAUAAGCACAUUUUCACUAGUAAAAUGAUUUGUAGUCGAUAUUAAUAAGUCAUUGCUGAACAGACACAUGCAGAAACCUUGGUAUAGGACCACUGCUACACAAACCCAUGCUAUAAACUCGGUAUAAUAGUAUCAAUGUCUCAAGAACGCUACAUCAGUAUUAGUGAUAAGUAAUAACACGAAUUGUUACUACAAAUGUUUCUCAAAUGUAGCAAAAGGUGGUAAGUUAUCGCUAUGAAAUUAGACAGCAGUGACGGCCCAAACGUCUGGCUAUAACCAGUAGUCAAAUAGGAUGGGGGAAUAGGGUAAAAGGGGGAGAUUAGAAGGGAGUUCAAGUAAUUAGCUUUCCCUAUUGUGCCUUCGUGGGCACCCCUUACCCCAAAAAUGUCCCUGUCCUGUUUGGGAAAUACUUAUCACUACUCCAC